AUGAACGCUAGCUACAGGCUUAACACAUGCAAGUCGAGGGGAAACGGCAUUUAGUGCUUGCACCGAAUGGACGUCGACCGGCGCACGGUGAGUAACGCGUAUCCAACCUACCCAUUACUGUGGGAUAACCUGCCGAAAGGCAGACUAAUACCGCAUAGUCUUCGAUGACGGCAUCAGAUUUGAAGUAAAGAUUUAUCGGUAAUGGAUGGGGAUGCGUCUGAUUAGCUUGUUGGCGGGGUAACGGCCCACCAAGGCAACGAUCAGUAGGGGUUCUGAGAGGAAGGUCCCCCACAUUGGAAUGAGACACGGUCCAAACUCCUACGGGAGGCAGCAGUGAGGAAUAUUGGUCAAUGGCGCGAGCCUGAAACCAGCCAAGUAGCGUGCAGGAUGACGGGCCCCUAUGGGUUGUAAAACUGCUUUUGUAUGGGG
RNAcentral lists this ribosomal RNA (429 nucleotides) under Prevotella sp. oral taxon 313. RNAcentral's name for it is "bacterial SSU rRNA". It matches the Rfam family "Bacterial small subunit ribosomal RNA", at positions 29 to 445 of the family's 1533-position model. The record is from RNAcentral. Lineage: Bacteria; Pseudomonadati; Bacteroidota; Bacteroidia; Bacteroidales; Prevotellaceae.